CUUCUUAACAACCUCACUCCCCCCCUAACCCAACCCCCCCAAAAAAAAUUCUUUUGUUCACCACUCUCAAUUUCUUCUACUAUUUCUCAGCAUCAUAACCAAUAUGGCUGCUGCAUUAAGUGCUUCACUCUCUCUACCAUCCUCGAAUUCAACUUCUCUUUCCAUCAAAACCAUCUUCAUCUCCCCUGAAAAUAUUACUUUCAACAAGGUUCCUUUAUGCAACAGAAAUGUAUCAGCUGGUGGAAAAGUGUUUCCCAUUAGAGCUCAACUCACAACAGAAGUACCUGCAAAGGUUGCGAAGGUAUCGAAGAAACAGGAUGAAGGUGUAGUUGUAAACAAGUUCAGGCCAAAGGAUCCUUAUAUUGGCAGAUGCCUUCUCAACACUAAGAUCACUGGAGAUGAUGCCCCUGGAGAAACUUGGCACAUGGUCUUUUCCACUGAGGGAGAGAUCCCAUACAGAGAAGGCCAAUCUAUCGGAGUGAUUCCUAAUGGUGUUGACAGUAAUGGGAAGCCCCACAAACUCAGAUUGUACUCCAUUGCUAGCAGUGCCCUUGGUGACUUUGGAGACUCCAAAACCGUAUCUCUGUGUGUCAAAAGGCUUGUCUACACAAAUGACAAAGGGGAAAUAGUUAAAGGAGUCUGCUCGAACUUCUUAUGUGACUUGAAACCUGGAGCUGAAGUUAAGAUUACUGGACCUGUUGGAAAAGAAAUGCUCAUGCCAAAGGAUCCCAACGCGACAGUUAUAAUGCUAGCCACUGGAACUGGAAUUGCUCCUUUCCGUGGAUUCUUGUGGAAAAUGUUCUUUGAGAAGCAUGAGGAUUACAAGUUCAAUGGUUUAGCUUGGCUUUUCUUGGGCGUACCGACAAGCAGCUCACUUAUUUACAAGGAGGAAUUCGAGAAAAUGAAGGAGAAGGCCCCGGAAAACUUCAGACUAGACUUUGCUGUGAGUAGGGAGCAGACUAACGAGAAAGGCGAAAAGAUGUACAUCCAGACCAGAAUGGCUGAAUAUGCUGAAGAACUAUGGACAUUACUCAAGAAAGACAACACAUUUGUGUACAUGUGUGGACUCAAAGGCAUGGAGCAGGGAAUCGAUGACAUUAUGACUUCACUUGCUGAAAGAGAUGGUAUUAACUGGGCAGAUUACAAAAAGCAGUUGAAGAAGGCAGAACAAUGGAAUGUGGAAGUCUACUAAAACUUUGGGUUUCUUUGUACAAAUAUGAGCGAAGUGUUAGUUUCUCUGCUCUGCAUCCAUUGUUUUGGGAAUUAAUGUCCCUUUGGAAGUUGGAUUUUAAAGGGGUAUGGAUGAUAAACAUACUUCUGGAUGAACCUCCAUAUAUAUGAAAUGUUUGUCCAUUUGAACAUACUUAUGUAAAGUGUAUUCCCUAUAAUGCCUUGUGCUUUAGUGUAUAAACAUGUAUAUCAGGAAUCAGGUGUAAUACUAAUUGAGACAGCUUGUUUGGAUGGUUGUUACCUGUC
RNA transcript from Solanum stenotomum, 1476 nucleotides. It is a transcript of the gene named ferredoxin--NADP reductase, leaf-type isozyme, chloroplastic-like, with no coding region annotated. The record is from RefSeq and is a predicted model, not a curated record. The transcript is spliced from 10 exons. Lineage: Eukaryota; Viridiplantae; Streptophyta; Magnoliopsida; Solanales; Solanaceae.